Molecule: long non-coding RNA, 467 nt
Organism: Schistocerca gregaria
Lineage: Eukaryota; Metazoa; Arthropoda; Insecta; Orthoptera; Acrididae
Exons: 4
Source: RefSeq, a predicted model, not a curated record
UGCUCACUCGAUUAUUAGGAGAAGAAUGAAUUCAGUUGUCAACGAUUCAUUUGUAGGGGAAACACUAAACGCGAGGAUUGAUAAAUGACGAAAAUGUGAGGGCAACCUCUAUAGAUGUAAGAACACCAUCUCAGGAGCAUGAUGACGUGGCUGGUCUAACCAAACUGUUCGAGGAUUCUGAUGAUAAUGGAGCUAUUAAUGUCAGUGUUGCGAUACUCCCUUCUCAGCUUCGCUUGCAUCUGAGAGCUGGCAUCCAAACACCAAUAGGUGCACCAUCUUAGGGAUCCAUUAAUGUUAAUUUUCUGACAUGCACGUCGUUCUUCACUUGGCCAGCAUGUGAGGGCUCUUGUCUAAACAUUAGCGUCAUAGGACACUUAUGAUGAUGAUAAUGAAGAUGCUGAUGAUUCGUGUGUCACACAGUUUCUAUACAAUUAUCUGUCUGUUUCUUAUUUAAGUAUACAUGUAUG